RNAcentral lists this ribosomal RNA (1380 nucleotides) under Enterococcus durans. RNAcentral describes it as "bacterial SSU rRNA". It matches the Rfam family "Bacterial small subunit ribosomal RNA", at positions 59 to 1412 of the family's 1533-position model. Lineage: Bacteria; Bacillati; Bacillota; Bacilli; Lactobacillales; Enterococcaceae. The record is from RNAcentral.
CAGUCGUACGCUUCUUUUUCCCCGGAGCUUGCUCCACCGGAAAAAGAAGAGUGGCGAACGGGUGAGUAACACGUGGGUAACCUGCCCAUCAGAAGGGGAUAACACUUGGAAACAGGUGCUAAUACCGUAUAACAAUCGAAACCGCAUGGUUUUGAUUUGAAAGGCGCUUUCGGGUGUCGCUGAUGGAUGGACCCGCGGUGCAUUAGCUAGUUGGUGAGGUAACGGCUCACCAAGGCUACGAUGCAUAGCCGACCUGAGAGGGUGAUCGGCCACAUUGGGACUGAGACACGGCCCAAACUCCUACGGGAGGCAGCAGUAGGGAAUCUUCGGCAAUGGACGAAAGUCUGACCGAGCAACGCCGCGUGAGUGAAGAAGGUUUUCGGAUCGUAAAACUCUGUUGUUAGAGAAGAACAAGGAUGAGAGUAACUGUUCAUCCCUUGACGGUAUCUAACCAGAAAGCCACGGCUAACUACGUGCCAGCAGCCGCGGUAAUACGUAGGUGGCAAGCGUUGUCCGGAUUUAUUGGGCGUAAAGCGAGCGCAGGCGGUUUCUUAAGUCUGAUGUGAAAGCCCCCGGCUCAACCGGGGAGGGUCAUUGGAAACUGGGAGACUUGAGUGCAGAAGAGGAGAGUGGAAUUCCAUGUGUAGCGGUGAAAUGCGUAGAUAUAUGGAGGAACACCAGUGGCGAAGGCGGCUCUCUGGUCUGUAACUGACGCUGAGGCUCGAAAGCGUGGGGAGCAAACAGGAUUAGAUACCCUGGUAGUCCACGCCGUAAACGAUGAGUGCUAAGUGUUGGAGGGUUUCCGCCCUUCAGUGCUGCAGCUAACGCAUUAAGCACUCCGCCUGGGGAGUACGACCGCAAGGUUGAAACUCAAAGGAAUUGACGGGGGCCCGCACAAGCGGUGGAGCAUGUGGUUUAAUUCGAAGCAACGCGAAGAACCUUACCAGGUCUUGACAUCCUUUGACCACUCUAGAGAUAGAGCUUCCCCUUCGGGGGCAAAGUGACAGGUGGUGCAUGGUUGUCGUCAGCUCGUGUCGUGAGAUGUUGGGUUAAGUCCCGCAACGAGCGCAACCCUUAUUGUUAGUUGCCAUCAUUCAGUUGGGCACUCUAGCAAGACUGCCGGUGACAAACCGGAGGAAGGUGGGGAUGACGUCAAAUCAUCAUGCCCCUUAUGACCUGGGCUACACACGUGCUACAAUGGGAAGUACAACGAGUCGCGAAGUCGCGAGGCUAAGCUAAUCUCUUAAAGCUUCUCUCAGUUCGGAUUGUAGGCUGCAACUCGCCUACAUGAAGCCGGAAUCGCUAGUAAUCGCGGAUCAGCACGCCGCGGUGAAUACGUUCCCGGGCCUUGUACACACCGCCCGUCACACCACGAGAGUU